Molecule: unclassified non-coding RNA, 222 nt
Filed under: Hevea brasiliensis (rubber tree)
Lineage: Eukaryota; Viridiplantae; Streptophyta; Magnoliopsida; Malpighiales; Euphorbiaceae
Source: RNAcentral
CCUAAAGCUCUUGAGCUUAACGAUGGCAUCAACUGCUUCUUCUCCUAAACUCUGCAUCCCCAAAACCUUCAAUACCACACAGCAAACACCUCGUUUCAAAACCAACCUUCCCAUUACUAACCAAACAUCAAACACCCGCCGCUCUCUCUGCAUCACUACUGCCUCGCUUUCUGACCCCAAAACCAAGCCCACCACCACUGCCACUGCUGCUAACGCAACCAC